This 495-nucleotide ribosomal RNA is filed under the name uncultured bacterium. RNAcentral describes it as "partial 16S ribosomal RNA". It matches the Rfam family "Bacterial small subunit ribosomal RNA", at positions 28 to 505 of the family's 1533-position model. The record is from RNAcentral.
GAUGAACGCUGGCGGCGUGCCUAAUACAUGCAAGUCGAGCGAACAGACGAGGAGCUUGCUCCUCUGACGUUAGCGGCGGACGGGUGAGUAACACGUGGAUAACCUACCUAUAAGACUGGGAUAACUUCGGGAAACCGGAGCUAAUACCGGAUAAUAUAUUGAACCGCAUGGUUCAAUAGUGAAAGACGGUUUUGCUGUCACUUAUAGAUGGAUCCGCGCCGCAUUAGCUAGUUGGUACGGUAACGGCUUACCAAGGCAACGAUGCGUAGCCGACCUGAGAGGGUGAUCGGCCACACUGGAACUGAGACACGGUCCAGACUCCUACGGGAGGCAGCAGUAGGGAAUCUUCCGCAAUGGGCGAAAGCCUGACGGAGCAACGCCGCGUGAGUGAUGAAGGUCUUCGGAUCGGAAAACUCUGUUAUUAGGGAAGAACAAAUGUGUAAGUAACUAGGCACGUCGUGACGGUACCUAAUCAGAAAGCCACGGCUAACUACG